GGGAUCUGGGCUGACUGCCCAGCAUCCCUGUGAUAAAGGUGUGGAGAACACGGUCCUAUCCACACCUCCCGUGCCACAAACCUCAGGGGAUUGUGGGCAGAGACCAACUCUCCUGCCAGCUCUUCUGCUGAGGGUGCACCCUGCCGCUGGAGAGGUAGGCCGAUUGUCUCCGUUCCCAGUAACACAAGCUGUUGCAGGGCAGGCAGGCUAACAUUCUCUGAUGUAAAGUCAAUGAAAUUUGUGGGCACAUCCUCCUAGAUCAGUUGCUCCACCUCUGCCUCCACCUCUUUUCGCUGGAGACCUCCUUCCCUCAUCUUUGCCAUCAGGAACUUGUGGUCUCUCUUGGCUUGUAUAUCAACAGUCUCCUGGUUGUCUGGAAGGUCUCCAUCAAAACAUUAGAGCCAUACCAGGCCAGUCGCUCCUGCACCUCGAACAGAAACUCUGAGUAAGAGUCAGAGGAUGCAAUGGUUGCCUGCUCUAAGACUGUGGGCACCUCUGCUUAUGUAUUUCCCCUGAAGAAAGCCAAUCCCUCUGACAUUCUCUUCUGGAACUCCUUUCCCGAAAAGGACGCUGUACGAGUGGUAGCGCUAUCCCUCUCCAGAAGAUGUGCAGGUAUCCCAGGGAUGUUUCCCCAGUCGCUAGGAAGCCAUCCCACCGCUGCCACCAUUUCCCUGGAACUAUUUUGGGCUUCUACGUCGUGGCCGGCCAGUCACAACUUUACCCCAGUGGCAAUUUCCUACCACCGAACCAAUCUGAGCGCUAUUUGGAUAUGUUGGACGCUCAGAUCAGGGCUAUCCGGGGGUAUGAAUAUUGAGGGGUUUCCAUGUAUUUUGGGGUUACUUUUGGGCUGUUGUAAGAUUCAUUCUGUUUUUCUGUACCUGAGAGAUAAUUUAGUUACAGUUUCCUAACUCAAUUUUGUCUCAGGCACGCUAUUUCUGUAUGGAGAGCACUUGCCGGGGGUCUGUGUUUAAAUUGAGAGUGCUUGCCUGAAAUAAACAGAUCUACUCCCAGUAUUCAGUCUCGACUAAUGUAUGGGGGGGGAGGUGGGAGCUAUACCAGCUAUAAUCACUUCCACAACUUGGUAGAGCUACUUCACACUGGGAAGGGAGUCCGUGGUGGCGAUAUACUGGCGGUACGCCACAGAACUGAAAUCUGACAUGCUACCUCGCGAACACUGCUGAACUUGUACCGCCGCCUGCUUCCCUCCUAAAUAAGCCAGGAGAACGCUUUUCAGGACAACAACUCAUAGGAACAAGAGGAGCAUUUGCUCCCUAGAGCCAGGGGGAGCAUUUGGUUUUAUGCACACAGUGUGGCGAAACCAACCUCGCCACUGGGCAUUGGAGAAGCCUGUUUGCCUGCCUGCUGACUAUGGCCCCUGGGAGAUUUGGCCCUUUAAAUACAGUAUUUGGGCAUAUUGUAUUUUAUUAUGCUGCUGCUGGCCAUUUUAACUCACAGACACUGUUUGGACUUUUCUACACGGUGCCAUCUCGCCAGUAUUUGGUGCAUGAAGACAUCGUUCAGUAGUUUCAAACUAUACAACAGGGGACACAUUAUACAGUAAUUAUUUUUCAUAUAGCCUGUAUAUGUUCUGCGUAAUCUGCCAAAUUACUGAACGGAUCUGGGUGAAUUUUGGAUAUGUGGUUCACCCAGAUCCCCUGGUUCCGAGGAUAUACUAUACUAUUUUUAUGGGGUUAUUGCAUGUUUUGGGGUCCCUGUGAUAUGUUUUAUAAUACUGUACUUCUCUGCCUGUGAUAAUUAGAUUAACCAUUGUGUUCAGUAAUCAUAUCACAGGCAGAGGGGGGGAUUUUGUGUGGGAGUGUCUGUGUGUAUUGUACGGAUUGAUUGGUUGUAUUUCAAAACCCUGUGGGCAGUACUAUGUUUGUGGAUUGUGAAUAAAAGAGGCUGUAUGUGCCAGU
Pelobates cultripes (western spadefoot toad) is the source of this 1916-nucleotide non-coding RNA. Lineage: Eukaryota; Metazoa; Chordata; Amphibia; Anura; Pelobatidae. The record is from the annotation of a GenBank genome assembly.